AUUCUGGGACUUACAGCAGUGGCCCACUCAGGCCCUUGAGACUUUGGCUCCGGACUAAGAGACCAUUGGAAUCUGUAGUUCUGAGGCCUUCAGACUUGACUUGGAUUGAGCCACGCUUCUGGCUUCCCCGUUUCUCCGGCUUGCAGACGGCUCAUCGUGGGACUUCCCUGUUUCCAUAAUUGGGCUAGCAGUCCAGGAUAAGAGCUGUCUGAAGAACAGAGGAGAGUGAGGACAAGCUGGAACAUGCAGGCAGCCACAUGUGGCAGGCAAGUUAAUCUUCAGUGGAAUAUGCAAAUAGGAUUUCUGAAAUUGGCAGCAAAUGAAUUUGAGAGCUUCUGGGAGCAUCUCUUCCAAGAUUCUGGUAAGCCUUUCUUCCUGGGCGAAACUUAGCAGAGGAAGGUAAGUAGGACAAACCAUGACCCCCACUAUUGUGGCUGGAUUUGAUGCUUAUUCUUUCCACCUUCUACAACCAUUUUGAUACCCCUCACUCAACAUAAUCCCUGCUAGUCACAAUGAUUUAUUGGUGUCACAACACAGACUUUCAUCUUUGAGGGAUCUGAGUCCUUGGUCUCAAGGUUCCUCUCACUUGGGAUUGUUCUUCUUGUCCAUUUACCAUCACACUUGGGAAAGGGAGUGAUGCAUAGAGGUAGAGAAGAACAUUUCAUAGGUGCCAAAGUAUUCCUUCCUACUAUUCUUGUGUAUCACAGCUCUACCACCUCCUGGUCAGGGUCAAAUAUACAUGUUAAAUUGAUGACUCCCUUUCUUCCUGCUGAACGCUUGGCAUAAGGAACCCCAAAUGCCCAGGUGUAGCCAUGAGAUAUAGUUCAGUAGGAUUCUGAUUGUGUCUCCUGGGUAAAAGAGUUUACCCCUUUUUGAACUAUGGCCUUUAAACUGAUGGAGUCUAUAUUUGUGGGCACAGGGAACACAAAUUUCCUAAAUAGGUCACUGGAAUUGAUGACUGCUCAAACUGAUUUUUCUCUUUCCCAGUUACUAUAGGGAUUAUGGAAUUUCUCUCUCAACAAACAACAUUUCUGUGUUCUCUGUUACUCAAUCUGGAUACACUCCUUUUAAAUCUCCCUCCUUUCUUUUUCCUCUUUCUAACUUAUUCUCUUCACCAGGGAAACAUUUUAAAUUAUAAUUUGCCUUCUACUUGCUACAGGCCAGUAAUUCCAGCCAUUUUGUGUUUCUACAAAACAUCACAUAUGUCACUAUUUUUGGUGCUUUUACUUAUUGGAGUAUUCUACUGUUCAGGUCACCACAUGAUUAUUUAUUCCUUCUCUAAUCUAAUCUUAUGCCCAGAAACAUCACCUCAUAGAGACUUCUUUGGACAUCACAUACUAAAAGAACAUUCAGCAUCUAGUCAUUAUUUGUUAUAUAUUCUUCAUUUUCCUCUUAAAAGUGGUUAAUGUAUUUGCUUGUUUAUUAUAAUGCCCUUUUUAUUGUUGUUUUUAUAUUGAGGCAGUGAUCCUCCUACCUCAAUUUUUGACUUUUUGUAGAGGUCUCACCAUGUUACCUAGGCUUGUCUCAAACUCCUGGACUCAAGCCAUCCUCCUGCCUUGGCCUCCCAAAGUGCUACCAUUAUAGGCAUGAGCCACUACACCCAUCUAAUUUUCCUUUUUCUAGACUGCAAAGUCCAUGAGUGAAAUAAACUUUUCUGACUUGCUCAUGAUGGUAUCUACAUGAUCUGGAUAAUUGCCUGCCACUUAGUAGGUGCCCAUUCAAUUUUUGUUAAAGAAAUAAAAACAUGACAGUCUGAGAUGAAAAAUUUUCUCUUUCCCAGUUAUUUUAACCUAGCAUAGGAAUAAAAGAGAAGGAAAAAUGAAUAAAAUGAAUUUAUAAUAUUGGGAAUAUUGGUAAAAUUAACUGAAUAAAAUCAACUAUCUCAAUGACUAGUUAAAGAUAUGAAGAUGGCUACAUUUUAAUAGACAACCUGGAAAUGAACCUAAAGUCUAACACUGAGUAUGUGCCUUGGUCAAUAACUAGAAACAUGAAGGUCAAUUUUCAUUUGGCAGCUUAGAGGAGCCUUGUAUAGAUGGCGGUGACAAAUUAUUACAGUGAUGGAAAGAGAAAGAACAAAAUGGCCCUCUAAGCCUAUUUCCUCUGGUAUUUUUGUCCUUGAGCAGUGAUUUUAAUUGAUUAUGGUUGUCCUGUAUUACCUGUUCAGCAAUUUUCCAAGUCAUUUCUCCCCUAAAGUUUGUGGUACAGACACACUAAUAUAGUGUCUCCAACACCCAAGCCAUUUGAUCAAGGCAUCCUAUUUGCAUGUAGGAGAGAAAUAAGGACUAUUUAAUGGUAGCUGCUGCAAUAAUUAUAGUUAUUAUUGUUUUUGGCUACAAUCUGGUCUCUAAAUGAUGCAUUUCUUAAUUUGAGAGUUUUCUCUCCUUAUUUAUGAGACUGAAGUGUAGAAAUCAUGAUUAUGCUCAAUGAACUUAUGUCACUGGAUGCAUUUGCUAUUUGCAGGUAUAGAGAAGACCUAAGAAAGACCAAGGAGAAUUUGUGUCACUAAAAUUUGAAGCUUUGAUUCUGAAAUUUUACUCAGCCUGAGUUGGUCAUUUGACUUUUACUGCUAUCAACUUGGGAGUUAAGGUGGUUAUGGUAUGGGGGUGGGUUUUAGGGCAAUAUGUAUGAUGAAGACUGAAAAUCAAGUUUGCAGAAAGAAAACAAAACAAAAUGAAAAUUAAAUAAAUUAUCAGGGAAGGCGAGAUGAGGGACUAAGAUGUGAAUAAGAGAGAAAAGACCAAUGUGAUUUCUAAUGGUUUUGCAGUUUUUGGUUCCAGUCCUCUGGGAAGCCUAGCGGUAUUUUCUGAUGAUAGUUUUCAUAAAAUAUUCAUCUAUGUUAUUUAAAAAGACUACUUUCUUUGGCCUCACAAGUAUAACCACAUGAUUAAUAUAAUAGCAAUGAUAUUAAUCUUAUAAUAAUAUGCUCUUUAUCUUUAUAAACAUGAUUCCCAAAUAAACUUUCUACCAUUUCAGUCUUAAAGAAGAGGAACAGUGCUGUUUAUUAAAAGGAUCACACAAGGAGUAAAUGUGGAAUGAUCACUCUUCCCAGACCUAACUGACUGCAGGAGGAACAGUCUGAAAUUGGGGAAAACAUCACACUACACCUACACCUUAACUUCUCUCUGCAGACCUAAGCCCCAGAAAUAGGAUAUACAUUACCCUAUAUUGAAAUAAAAGCAAAAAUGAAGGUAUCUUUGCCCUACUCACAUUUGAGACUCUCAGAGGAGACUACCUUGAAGAAUGAUCCUGCUAUAACCAUGGGUGACCACAU
Molecule: long non-coding RNA, 3271 nt
Organism: Pan troglodytes (chimpanzee)
Lineage: Eukaryota; Metazoa; Chordata; Mammalia; Primates; Hominidae
Exons: 4
Source: RefSeq, a predicted model, not a curated record